AGCCCUCAAACCCAAUGUCCGCCAUUCUUGGUAGAGGUUGAGGUUUGGAUUUGGACUUUGCCGGUUUACAUCGGCUGGUCUUGAAGUCAUUAGCUGGCUGCUGAGGUUAGCGACCUGGUGUGAUAAGAUCACUCGCUGGGUGCGCGACCUUGUAUGGUGGCUGCUGCCAAUCGUCUCGCAAGGGACAAAUAGCCUUUAAGU
Molecule: unclassified non-coding RNA, 201 nt
Filed under: uncultured Agaricomycetes
Lineage: Eukaryota; Fungi; Basidiomycota; Agaricomycetes
Description: sequence contains ITS2
Source: RNAcentral